This is a non-coding RNA of Coemansia sp. RSA 1200, 101 nucleotides long. The record is from the annotation of a GenBank genome assembly. NCBI's taxonomy places the organism in Eukaryota, Fungi, Kickxellomycota, Kickxellomycetes, Kickxellales, Kickxellaceae.
CCGAAAAUAGCUCAGCGGUAGAGCGGGAGACUGUAGUGGCUUGGCCUUCAAUGGCUUGCGUUGUAAUCUCUAGGUCCCUGGUUCAAAUCCGGGUUUUCGGA